RNAcentral lists this long non-coding RNA (810 nucleotides) under Zonotrichia albicollis (white-throated sparrow). RNAcentral describes it as "lncRNA (ENSZALG00000001733.1)". The record is from RNAcentral. Lineage: Eukaryota; Metazoa; Chordata; Aves; Passeriformes; Passerellidae.
CCCCAAAACUGCCCGGGGACCCCAAAACUGCCCAGGACCCCAAAAACGGCCCAGGGGUACAGAGCACACCCCCAGAACUGCCCCAGGACUCCCCAAACUGCCCAGGGUACAGAGCACACCCCAAACCUGCCCCUUUAAGGGUGAGGGUCCCCAGAAUCUUUUAGAGACCCCCAAAUUCCUCCUUGCACUGCUCUCCUCGCACCCUGGGCAUCCCAAACCCGCCCACAGUCCCGAUUUGGGGGUGUCUGAGGGGUCUGUGUGUCCCCAUUCCCGAUUUUGGGGGUGUCUGAGGGGUCUGUGUGUGUCCAUUCCCGAUUUGGGGGUGUCUGAGGGGGUCUGUGUGUCCAUUCCCGAUUUUGGGGGUGUCUGACGGGUGUCCCCCUCCCCAGCUGGAGCAGGCGGAGCACCGGGGGGCUCAGGGGGUGUCUGAGGAGUCUGUGUGUCCAUUCCCAAUUUGGGGGUGUCUGACGGGUGUUUCCCCACCUGUCCCAAUUUUUGGGGUGUCUGAGGGGUCUGUGUGUCCAUUCCCGAUUUGGGGGUGUCUGAGGGGUCUGUGUGUGUCCAUUCCCGAUUUGGGGGUGUCUGACGGGUGUCCCCCUCCCCAGCUGGAGCAGGCGGAGCGCCGGGGGGCUCGGGGGGUCUCUGAGGGGUCUGUGUGUGUCCUGUCCCAAUUUGGGGGUGUCUGAGGGGUCUGUGUGUGUCCAUUCCCAAUUUGGGGGUGUCUGAGGGGUCUGUGUGUGUCCUGUCCCAAUUUGGGGGUGUCUGAGGGGGUCUGUGUGUGUCCUGUCCCAAUUUGGGGGUGUCUGAGGG